RNAcentral lists this ribosomal RNA (250 nucleotides) under uncultured bacterium. RNAcentral's name for it is "partial 16S ribosomal RNA". It matches the Rfam family "Bacterial small subunit ribosomal RNA", at positions 779 to 1036 of the family's 1533-position model. The record is from RNAcentral.
UAGAUACCCUGGUAGUCCACGCUGUAAACGAUGGAUACUAGCUGUUUGGAGCAAUCUGAGUGGCUAAGCGAAAGUGAUAAGUAUCCCACCUGGGGAGUACGUUCGCAAGAAUGAAACUCAAAGGAAUUGACGGGGGCCCGCACAAGCGGUGGAGCAUGUGGUUUAAUUCGAUGAUACGCGAGGAACCUUACCAAGGUUUAAAUGGAGACUGACAGGGGUAGAGAUACCUUUUUCUUCGGACAGUUUUCAA